AUGAACGCUGGCGGCGUGCCUAAUCCAUGCAAGUCGAGCGAACAGAUGAGGAGCUUGCUCCUCUGACGUUAGCGGUGGACGGGUGAGUAACACGUGGAUAACCUACCUAUAAGACUGGGAUAACUUCGGGAAACCGGAGCUAAUACCGGAUAAUAUAUUGAACCGCAUGGUUCAAUAGUGAAAGACGGUUUUGCUGUCACUUAUAGAUGGAUCCGCGCCGCAUUAGCUAGUUGGUAAGGUAACGGCUUACCAAGGCAACGAUGCGUAGCCGACCUGAGAGGGUGAUCGGCCACACUGGAACUGAGACACGGUCCAGACUCCUACGGGAGGCAGCAGUAGGGAAUCUUCCGCAAUGGGCGAAAGCCUGACGGAGCAACGCCGCGUGAGUGAUGAAGGUCUUCGGAUCGUAAAACUCUGUUAUUAGGGAAGAACAAAUGUGUAAGUAACUAUGCACGUCUUGACGGUACCUAAUCAGAAAGCCACGGCUAACUACGUG
RNAcentral lists this ribosomal RNA (496 nucleotides) under uncultured bacterium. RNAcentral describes it as "partial 16S ribosomal RNA". It matches the Rfam family "Bacterial small subunit ribosomal RNA", at positions 29 to 507 of the family's 1533-position model. The record is from RNAcentral.